RNAcentral lists this ribosomal RNA (774 nucleotides) under uncultured archaeon. RNAcentral describes it as "bacterial SSU rRNA". It matches the Rfam family "Archaeal small subunit ribosomal RNA", at positions 89 to 860 of the family's 1478-position model. The record is from RNAcentral.
CUCAGUAACACGUGGAUAACCUACCCUUAGGACCGGAAUAACCCCGGGAAACUGGGGAUAAUACCGGAUAAGCCAUAGACGCUGGAAUGCCCUAUGGUUCAAAGCUCCGGCGCCUAAGGAUGGAUCUGCGGGUCUAUCAGGUUGUAGUGGGUGUAACGUACCUACUAGCCGACGACGGAUACGGGUUGUGAGAGCAAGAGCCCGGGAGAUGGAUUCUGAGACACGAAUCCAGGCCCUACGGGGGUGCAGCAGGCGCGAACACUUUACAAUGCGGGAAACCGCGAUAAGGGGAACCCCGAGUGCCAGCAUCAAAUGUUGGCUGUCCAGAUGAUUAAAAAUCAUUUGUUAGCAAGGGCCGGGCAAGACCGGUGCCAGCCGCCGCGGUAACACCGGCGGCCCGAGUGGUAGCCGUUUUUAUUGGGUCUAAAGGGUCCGUAGCCGGCCUGAUAAGUCCUUUGGGAAAUCUGGCAGCUUAACUGUCAGGCUUCUAAGGGAUACUGUCAGGCUUGGGACCGGAAGAGGUAAGGGGUACUCCAGGGGUAGGAGUGAAAUCUUGUAAUCCCUGGGGGACCAUCUGUGGCGAAGGCGCCUUACCAGAACGGGUCCGACGGUGAGGGACGAAAGCUAGGGGAGCAAACCGGAUUAGAUACCCGGGUAGUCCUAGCUGUAAACGAUGCUCGCUAGGUGUCAGACACGGGGCGACCGUGUUUGGUGCCGCAGGGAAGGGGGGGUGCGGGCGACCUGGGAAGUACGGUCGCAAGGCUGAAACUUAAA